CGAAAUGUGUUUGAUGGAAUGCCA
This 24-nucleotide non-coding RNA is filed under the name Arabidopsis thaliana (thale cress). Lineage: Eukaryota; Viridiplantae; Streptophyta; Magnoliopsida; Brassicales; Brassicaceae. The record is from RNAcentral.